CUACGGGGUGCAGCAGUGGGGAAUAUUGGACAAUGGGGGAAACCCUGAUCCAGCAAUGCCGCGUGUGUGAAGAAGGCCUGCGGGUUGUAAAGCACUUUCGGUUGGGAGGACUGCUUCUAGCACUAAUAUUGUUGGAAGUUGACGUUACCUUCAGAAGAAGCACCGGCUAACUCCGUGCCAGCAGCCGCGGUAAUACGGAGGGUGCAAGCGUUAAUCGGAACUACUGGGCGUAAAGCGCGCGUAGGCGGCUAGAUCAGUCGGGUGUGAAAGCCCCGGGCUUAACCUGGGAACUGCAUCCGAUACUGUCUAGCUUGAGUACAGGAGAGGAGAGUGGAAUUCCACAUGUAGCGGUGAAAUGCGUAGAUAUGUGGAGGAACACCAAUGGCGAAGGCAGCUCUCUGGCCUGAUACUGACGCUGAGGUGUGAAAGCGUGGGGAGCAAACAGGAUUAGAUACCCCUGUAGUC
RNAcentral lists this ribosomal RNA (465 nucleotides) under uncultured bacterium. RNAcentral describes it as "partial 16S ribosomal RNA". It matches the Rfam family "Bacterial small subunit ribosomal RNA", at positions 339 to 795 of the family's 1533-position model. The record is from RNAcentral.